CGUGGUUUUGCUAAUAAUAAUCAAUACACCAAAAAAACAUGGUUACUAAACUUUUACCACAAAAAAAAAACAUUCAUUUUCGUAAGGGGAAUAUGAGUGUUUGUUUUUUUGUAGUUUUUCAGUCAAUUGCAUACCGCUUUUAGCUGUACAAAACUUAAACAGUUUUCGUAAAUGCAUUUCAGAGAGAAGUGAAUUCUGAGAUUUGAAUAAUGCAUCUGACGUGUGUGUGAUGACGUCACGACGCACGUAUUUUGAUUUUUACCAGUCGUUCAAGGCGGACGGAUUCAGUCCCAAGAAGCUAAAGUUUUUCAAAGACAUUUGUAGGGAGGACUUUGCAGCUAAUGGAGCUGAAGUAUUUUAUGUAAGGAGGAUUUUGCAGCCCAUAUAGAUUUCCUUAGGCUGAACCAAAACCUGCCAGACUAAAGUUGAUUUGGGAGAGAAAGACGUUGUAAACUCAAUCAUCUUGACAUUCUUCAAUGAGUAAUUGUUCAAUUUUUAGGCAAAUACUGUACACUUUGAAAACUGUGAAUAAAACUAUAUUUUAAAUAUA
Long non-coding RNA from Paramisgurnus dabryanus, 550 nucleotides. RefSeq lists it as uncharacterized. The record is from RefSeq and is a predicted model, not a curated record. Lineage: Eukaryota; Metazoa; Chordata; Actinopteri; Cypriniformes; Cobitidae.